Molecule: transfer RNA, 87 nt
Organism: Baudoinia panamericana
Lineage: Eukaryota; Fungi; Ascomycota; Dothideomycetes; Mycosphaerellales; Teratosphaeriaceae
Rfam family: tRNA
About the family: Transfer RNA (tRNA) molecules are approximately 80 nucleotides in length. Their secondary structure includes four short double-helical elements and three loops (D, anti-codon, and T loops).
Source: Rfam
GGGCGCUUGGUCUAGGGGUAUGAUUUUCGCUUCGCAUCCCAUUGCGUAACCUGUGAAAGGUCGUGGGUUCAAUUCCCACAGCGUCCA